This 1380-nucleotide ribosomal RNA is filed under the name Physalaemus fischeri (Heatwole's dwarf frog). RNAcentral describes it as "partial 16S ribosomal RNA". It matches the Rfam family "Bacterial large subunit ribosomal RNA", at positions 150 to 2557 of the family's 2925-position model. The record is from RNAcentral. Lineage: Eukaryota; Metazoa; Chordata; Amphibia; Anura; Leptodactylidae.
AGCAAAAAAUUUAGCCCACAUUUACUUAUAUUAACCAAUUUUUAUAUACUUCAAUUAAAUCAUUUUAUCUGCCUAGUAAAGGAGAUUGAAAGGCCUACAGGAGCUAUAAACCUAGUACCGCAAGGGAAUAAUGAAAUAAAAAUGAAAAACUUUAAGCAUAUUAUAGUAGAGAUUAAUUCUCGUACCUUUUGCAUCAUGGUUUAACUAGUUAAACCAAGCAAAAAGAAUUUAAGUUUGACUUCCCGAAUCUAAGUGAGCUACUUCAAGGCAGCUAAUAGAGCCAACUCGUCUCUGUUGCAAAAGAGUGAGAAGACCUUCAAGUAGAGGUGAUAGACCUACCGAACUUAGUGAUAGCUGGUUAUUCAAGAAAAGAACAUUAGUUCAGCUAAAAAUUUAUAUAAUAAACAAAAUUUAGAUUAAAUUUUUUAAGUAACUCAAAUAAGGUACAGCCUAUUUGAAACAGGAUACAACCUACACUAAAGGGUAACCUAUUUUUAUUCAUAGUUAAGUAGGCCUAAUAGCAGCCAACUUUAAAAAAGCGUCAAAGCUUAUCUUAAUAAAUAUUUAAUUCCACUAUAAACAAGAAACCCUUAAUCUGUAUUGAAUACUUCUAUAAAAUUAUAGAAUUUUUUAUGUUAAAACUAGUAACAAGAAGAAGAACUUCUCUUAAAUGCACGUAUAAGUCAGCCUGGACAACCCACUGAUAGUUAACGCAUUAGAACAAGCAGUAGUAACAUCUCUAGAAAACCCUUCUGUGAACUCCGUUAACCUUACACAAGAGCAUUAAAAGAAAGAUUAAAAAAAAAGGAAGGAACUCGGCAAACACUAACCCCGCCUGUUUACCAAAAACAUCGCCUCUUGUUUUUUAUAAGAGGUCCAGCCUGCCCAGUGAAUAAAUUAAACGGCCGCGGUAUCCUAACCGUGCGAAGGUAGCGUAAUCACUUGUUCUUUAAAUAAGGACUAGUAUGAAUGGCAUCACGAGGGUUAUUCUGUCUCCCUUUUUUAAUCAGUGAAACUAAUCUUCCCGUGAAGAAGCGGGAAUAAAACUAUAAGACGAGAAGACCCUAUGGAGCUUUAGACUACUUAACAAAUGCUAUUUACUUUCCUAUCCUCUGGGAACUUAACUAUAUUUUAUCAUACUGAUUAAUAGUCUUAGGUUGGGGUGACCGCGGAGUAAAAUACAACCUCCAUGAUGAAAGAAACUUAAUUUCUUAAUUCAGAGUAACAACUCUAAAUACCAAAAUCUUGACAUAGCUUGAUCCAGUUUACUGAUCAACGAACCAAGUUACCCUAGGGAUAACAGCGCAAUCUACUUCAAGAGUUCCUAUCGACAAGUAGGUUUACGACCUCGAUGUUGGAUCAGGGUAUCCUAGUGGUGCA